RNAcentral lists this ribosomal RNA (330 nucleotides) under uncultured bacterium. RNAcentral's name for it is "bacterial SSU rRNA". It matches the Rfam family "Bacterial small subunit ribosomal RNA", at positions 568 to 899 of the family's 1533-position model. The record is from RNAcentral.
UUCGUAGGCGGUGCGGCAAGUCGGGAGUGAAAUCUCUGGGCUUAACUCAGAGGCUGCUCUCGAAACUGCCGUGCUCGAGUGCGGGAGAGGCGAGUGGAAUUGCAGGUGUAGCGGUGAAAUGCGUAGAUAUCUGCAGGAACACCCGUGGCGAAGGCGGCUCGCUGGACCGCAACUGACGCUGAGGAACGAAAGCUAGGGGAGCAAACAGGAUUAGAUACCCUGGUAGUCCUAGCCCUAAACCAUCAGGACUUGGGGUGGCCCGCGUAGGCGGGUCGUCCCGCAGCUAACGCGUUAAGUCCUGCGCCUGGGGAUACGGUCGCAAGACUGAAA